This is a long non-coding RNA of Trachemys scripta elegans, 1066 nucleotides long. RefSeq lists it as uncharacterized. The transcript has 3 exons. The record is from RefSeq and is a predicted model, not a curated record. NCBI's taxonomy places the organism in Eukaryota, Metazoa, Chordata, Testudines, Emydidae.
UCUUCUUAUCAGGGUCUGUCACCUGAGGAAGCAGCUCCUGUGACCCACCCUCCCUCACAAGUGUGACGUAGGAAAGAGGAGGAGAGACAAAAAUUAUGUUGAAACAGUUUUUGGCAUCAGUAACACAUUGGUCACAAGAGGUUUCCAACACAUACACAACAACAGUGCAGCAUGUGUGUAAUCUACUGCUACGAGUGGCUGUUGGUUGAAGAAUUCGUUCCAAAUCAUGUAGCAAAUUCCUCGUGCAGCUUAUGCAUUGGCUCCUCCACUGACUACACCUGCAAACCAGGUUCUUCGCUGCAUGGACCUGACUGAAGGGAUGCACAUUCCCCCAGACCUUGUCAAGAUCAUGUAUGAAUAUACUGAACAGCACUGGGCCCAGAACAGACUCCUGGUUAUCCUGCUCUCUGAUGUGAUCUGAUGGUCUGUAGUAGAUGCCAGCUGGUACCCAAUCUUGUGCUUUAUCGGUUAGGACAUUGAUGCAUCAGCAUUCUAGAUAAUUUUCUUCUGAGUUAUCAGUGACAUGGAAAAAGGUAAUGUCAUUUUUGACAAUGUUCCACUCCCCCUCCCCUUUUGCCCAAUCAAUCCUUCCUAAAUAGGUGAUAGCCAUUGAUUUUAACAUUCCAUUCAUGGGAAUCAUCCCACCAAGUUUCAGUAACACCAACUAGAUCAAAUGUAUGUUCAUAAAUGGGCAAUUCUAAUUCCUCUUGUUUGUUACCCAGGCUCCUAGCAGUGGUGUAUAAGCAAAUCAAGAAUUUCUUCUCUUCAUGUCCUUCAGUUCCUUGAUUUUUAUUCUCAACAUCUUGAUUUUAGGCUGAGUGCUCAAACCUUCCCCCUCUUUACUCAGGUCCCUUCAGUUUAUCCUCUCCAGCUGAGUACGGUGCUUCUCAGGGGCUCCGUGUGCUCCUACCAGAGCUGGAGAGAAUGGGGAGUAGUUUCUGGGCUGGGUGUUCUUACGCCUGUCCUCUUUCCAGAGCUGCAUCAGCCUUCUUUAAUGACUGUGCACCCAGACUGCACGUGCAAUUAGGAAAGAUUCAAUGCAGUGAUUUCCAACUAUCAGCAGGAU